AAGGGGUCGGCUGACCCCGUUGGUCAGCGUAAAAAAACCCCCGUAGAAGAUUCGAGCUGAGAACAAGUGAUGGCUGAAGGCACGAUCAAGCGGCUUACCGACAAGGGUUUUGGUUUCAUUAGCGUCGAUGGACAGAAGGAUCUGUUCUUUCACCACUCCGCCGUUGAGGGCAUCGCUUACGAUGACCUCCGCGAAGGUCAGAUGGUGACUUACAACGCCGGCGAAGGCCCCAAAGGUCCCCGCGCCGAGAACGUCCGCCCCGUCUAAGGCGCGACGCACAAUUUAAAUCA
RNAcentral lists this small RNA (290 nucleotides) under Botrimarina hoheduenensis. RNAcentral describes it as "Planctomycetes bacterium Pla111 CspA". The record is from RNAcentral. Lineage: Bacteria; Pseudomonadati; Planctomycetota; Planctomycetia; Pirellulales; Lacipirellulaceae.